Molecule: small RNA, 127 nt
Filed under: Marmota monax (woodchuck)
Lineage: Eukaryota; Metazoa; Chordata; Mammalia; Rodentia; Sciuridae
Source: RNAcentral
GCUGGGUGAGGUGGAGCACACCUGUAAUUCCAGCAACUCAGGAGGCUGAGGCAGGAGGAUUGCAAGUUCAAGGCCAGCCUCAGCAACCUAUCGAAGCCCUAAGCAAUUCAGUGAGACCCUGUCUCUA